Molecule: non-coding RNA, 1397 nt
Organism: Danio rerio (zebrafish)
Lineage: Eukaryota; Metazoa; Chordata; Actinopteri; Cypriniformes; Danionidae
Source: RefSeq, a predicted model, not a curated record
ACACACACACACACACAGUGUAUACAGUUGUGUAGUGUACGCUAGUGUUACUGCAGUGUGUUGUGGUGUGUUAUACUCUACUGCUGUGUCGGGUCAUGUGUUUACUGGUGUAGUUGUUGUGUUGCCGUAGUGACCGCAGCAUCACCACAGCAGACAAACUCACAGAACCCGUGUUUACUGCAGGAUUACCAUAGUAACACUGUCCGAGUGCUGAUGAGGAGGAGACGGCAGAUCAACACCACACACACAUGGAGGAACAGCAGGAGCGGGGUGUGUGUGUGUGUGUGUGUGUGUGUGUCCCUCAGCUGCUUCUGCUGCAACAGGCUCACCUGCGCGCUCUGGAUCUGCAGGUGAUGCAGCAGCUGCUCUCCAUCAAUGAGGGUCUGGAAUCGGUACGCUGUGAGCUACAGGAGGCGGAGCCAGGGGGUGGAGCCAGCAGCUUGACUGGCAGCUUCUGCAGCCUAUCAGAUAGCCAGGGGGCGUCGCCACACAGCAGCUGCAGCGACGGAUUGGACGAGAUCUCAGUGGGCAGUUACCUGGACACGCUGGGAGAAGAAGAGCUGGAGCACAGCGGAGUGAAGGAGGAGGAGGAGGAGGAGCGCCGCCGUGUGGAGGAGCCGCAGUAUUACUGCUUCACUUAGCAGCGCCGCACGCUAACACACACACACACACACACUGAAGCGCUGACGCUCAGAGUCUCCAACACCGCUGACGCUCCGCUCUCACUGUUCACAUCUCCCGCAGGAUGCCGAGUCUGCGUUCACACUCUCAGCUCUCACUCCGGUAGUCUGACAUGCCCCGCCCCUUCUUCUCAUUGGCUGUUCAUCUGAUGCACUUGAGAUCAGCCACUCCCACUGGAGAGAAAACAACACGCUAUUGGCUGAGUUUUAACAAGAGGAGGAGCUACUCUAUGCCCCGCCCUCUUGAGUUGAGAUUGCGUCACACGUCCAACAACAGCAGAGACACCCUAACCCUGAACACCACAGCUCCAGCACUGCUAGCGGCUAACGCUGACCUUCAGCUCAAUGACUGUGUGUGUGUGUGUGGGUGUGUGUGUGUGUGUGUUCAUCAGGGAUACUCAGACAGCUGAACUCCAUCAUUUGUGUGUGUGUGUGUGAACGCAGCUGUCGUUGCUCUCUGUUAGAUCGCACCUGUUCACAUGCUAAUGCUAACGGGCUAGCGUGUGCUGCUAUGCUAACUCCCUUUAUUCCUGAGGUUUCACUGAAGUGCCCUCCUGCCGAUGCCAAAGUCUGACUCAGGACUGAUGGAGCAGGCGUCUGUGGCUCAUCUGUGUGUGUGUGUGUGUGUGUGUGUGUGCUGUAAUGAGUGUUGCGUCGUGUCGGCGCGUCUCGUCUCGGUGUUUUGUCUGUUUUUAUGAAUAAACAUUGUGCAGUGUG